CACGGGGGGUGCAAGCGUUGUUCGGAUUCAUUGGGCGUAAAGGGCUCGUAGGUGGCUUUGUAAGUCGGAGGUGAAAGACCACGGCUCAACCGUGGAAACGCCUUCGAAACUGUGAAGCUUGAGGCUGGGAGAGGAAAUCGGAAUUCCUGGUGUAGCGGUGAAAUGCGUAGAUAUCAGGAGGAACACCGGUGGCGAAGGCGGAUUUCUGGACCAGUUCUGACACUGAUGAGCGAAAGCCAGGGGAGCAAACAGG
This 253-nucleotide ribosomal RNA is filed under the name uncultured bacterium. RNAcentral describes it as "partial 16S ribosomal RNA". It matches the Rfam family "Bacterial small subunit ribosomal RNA", at positions 524 to 776 of the family's 1533-position model. The record is from RNAcentral.